This 228-nucleotide long non-coding RNA is filed under the name Elaeis guineensis (African oil palm). RNAcentral's name for it is "long non-coding RNA (EGUI_LNC079807)". Lineage: Eukaryota; Viridiplantae; Streptophyta; Magnoliopsida; Arecales; Arecaceae. The record is from RNAcentral.
CUGAUAAAUAUUAUUUUAAAAAUAUUUCUUCUACCUUCUUGAUGGAUAUAAGAUGUUCAUAAAUCUUAAGGCAUUCUUUUUGGAAAAGAAAUUUCUUGAUGAAGAAACUAUUGCCAUUAAGAGCAAGUUUGGUGAAGCUUGAUAGGUAAAGAAACCGACUCUGACACAAACCAACAAAAUCAAAAUUGAUUAGAUCAAUUUCGGAGCCCAAUGUAAAGGUAUCCUUGA